This is a non-coding RNA of Pelobates cultripes (western spadefoot toad), 1537 nucleotides long. NCBI's taxonomy places the organism in Eukaryota, Metazoa, Chordata, Amphibia, Anura, Pelobatidae. The record is from the annotation of a GenBank genome assembly.
CAGACACUGUGUGAGAGAGACUGACUGACACUGAGAGACAGACACUGUGUGAGAGAGACUGACACUGAGUGUGCCAUAUACAGGGGACCACACUGACUGACACUGAGAGUGCCAUAUACGGGGGACCACACUGACUGACACUGAGAGAGAGACAGAGAGACUUACACUGUGUGAGAGAGAGACUGACACUGUCUGAGAGAGAGAGACUGACUGACACUGAGAGUGCCAUAUACGGGGGACCACACUGACUGACACUGAGAGUGCCAAAUACGGGGGACCACACUGACUGACACUGAGAGUGCCAUAUACAGGGGACCAGACUGACACACUGAGAGAGAGAGACUGAUUGACACUGUGUGAGAGACACUGUGUGAGAGAGAGACUGGGGGGAUAACAGACACUGUGUGAGAGAGAGAGACUGGGGGAUAACAGACACUGUGAGAGAGAGAGAGACUGGGGGAUAACAGACACUGUGAGAGAGAGAGAGACUGUGUGAGAGAGAGAGACUGGGGGGAUAACAGACACUGUGAGAGAGACAGACACUGUGUGAGAGAGAGAGACUGGGGGGAUAACAGACACUAUGUGUGAGAGAGACUGGGGGGAUAAGACACUGUGUGUAAGAGACUGUGGGGGGAUAACAGACACUGUGUGUGAGAGAGACUGGGGGGAUAACAGACACUGUGUGAGAGAGACUGGGGGUAAUAACAGUUUGAGAGAGAUGGAGGAUAACAGACACUGAGAGAGAGAGACUGGGGGGAUAACAGACACUGUGUGUGUGAGAGAGAGACUGGGGGGAUAACAGACACUGUGUGUGAGAGAGAGAGAGACAGACACUGUGUGAGAGAGAGACUGUGUAAGACAGAGACUGGGGGGAUAACAGGCACUGUGAGAGAGAGACGGGGGGAAUAACAGACACUGUGAGAGACUGGGGGGAUAACAGACACUGUGUGAGAGAGACUGGGGGUAAUAACAGUUUGAGAGAGAUGGAGGAUAACAGACACUGAGAGAGAGAGACUGGGGAUAACAGACACUGUGAGAAAGAGAUUGGGGGGGAUGGCCUGGGACACUGUGUGAGACUGGGGACAACAGACACUGUGUGAGAGACUGGGGGGAUAGCAGACACUGUGAGACUGGGGGAUAACAGACACCGCAGAGACUGGGGGGGGAGGUCAGACACCGCAGAGAGACUGGGGGGAUAAGACACUGUGUGUAAGAGACUGUGGGGGGAUAACAGACACUGUGUGUGAGAGAGACUGGGGGGAUAACAGACACUGUGUGAGAGAGAGAGACUGGGGGGAUAACAGAUACUUUGUGGGAGAGAGACUGGGGGAUAACAGACACUUUGUGAGAGAGAGACUGGGGGAUAAGACACUGAGAGAGACUGGGGGGGAUAAUACACUGUGUGAGAGAGAGACUGCGGAUAACUGACUGUGUGUGAGAGAGACUGGGGGGGAUAACUGACUGUGAGAGAGACUAGGGGAUAACAGACACUGUGUGAUAGAGAGACUGGAGGGAGAUAACAGACACUGUGUGAGAG